This 30-nucleotide non-coding RNA is filed under the name Rattus norvegicus (Norway rat). The record is from RNAcentral. Lineage: Eukaryota; Metazoa; Chordata; Mammalia; Rodentia; Muridae.
UGCCUAGACACAUCUCUUUCUGAUACAACA